AGGGGCCGCGAUGGGAGGGGGUUGUUCGACGUGACCCCGCCCCGCCCGGCCCCGCC
Molecule: microRNA precursor, 56 nt
Filed under: Gallus gallus (chicken)
Lineage: Eukaryota; Metazoa; Chordata; Aves; Galliformes; Phasianidae
Description: microRNA gga-mir-12245 precursor
Source: miRBase by way of RNAcentral